This 71-nucleotide transfer RNA is filed under the name Loxodonta africana (African savanna elephant). It matches the Rfam family "tRNA". From Rfam's summary of the family: Transfer RNA (tRNA) molecules are approximately 80 nucleotides in length. Their secondary structure includes four short double-helical elements and three loops (D, anti-codon, and T loops). The record is from Rfam by way of RNAcentral. Lineage: Eukaryota; Metazoa; Chordata; Mammalia; Proboscidea; Elephantidae.
GCAUUGGUAGUUCAGUGUUAGAAUUCGCACCUGCCAUGCAGGAGACCCAGGUUCGAUUCCUGGCCAAUACA